AAAUCGAUUGGCUCAUUUAGGAUGUGCUCCAAACAUUUGGCGAACUUUUUUUCGCCUUUUCAACGUGCUAAGUAACAAGUUAAGAUGACUGCCAUCAUGGGCCGGUAAGAAACCGCAAGCAAAGGGCAGACAACCUUCCAGGAAGCUGCCUCCUGUCCCCGAGCCGAAGCUGCAGUUCAGCAAGAGCAGGUCAGCAAAUUGCUACCCUGAUCAAACGUAAACUAAAGCGCUCUGCUGUGAUUGCACUCCGUAAAUGUGAAAACUUGGUGCAUGCUGAGAAAUAUCAAA
Molecule: long non-coding RNA, 288 nt
Organism: Rhagoletis zephyria (snowberry fruit fly)
Lineage: Eukaryota; Metazoa; Arthropoda; Insecta; Diptera; Tephritidae
Source: RefSeq, a predicted model, not a curated record